AUGUGCCGGGUGCGAGUUCGGAGCCCCCCACUCUCUGGUCGCGAGCGCGGGCCGGCGAGGGGCUCGGGCGGGCUGCACCCACCCCCACCCCCACCCCCACCCCGAGGCUGGGCCCUGAAGGCCCUGGAGCGGCCUGUCCCGGGAGGACGUGUCCACUCGGACCCGCUCCGAAAGUUCACUCCGUCGCCACCCCGCGUCCCGUCCCGUGCCAGCGUGCCGGUCCCCAGUCGCCGGGCCCACGUCCCGGUCUCGGCUUCUUCCUGUUUGCCUCCGUGUGUUCCUGCUUUCCAGUUCCAGCCCUGCAGCCCCAGGGCCUCUCCCGGGGUGCCCGUGUUCCCCUCCCGCGGUCUCCGUGUGCUCCCUCCCGGGGUGCCCGUGUUCCUCCCCGGGGUCUCCGUGUGCUCCCUCCCGGGGUGCCCGUGUUCCUCCCGGGGUCUCCGUGUUCCCUCUGGCUGGAGCUCCCCGCCCCUCUCUGCCUUCUCCCCGCUGCGUCUCCGUGCUUUCCUCCCCAGGUGUUCAGCCCUCUUGGCGCCCCACACCCCCUCUGCGGGGUCCCCUCCCCCAUGCCCAUGGAAUGCUGCCCCUCAGGUUCUUCCGCCCCUGAGCCGGGGAGGGCCUGGCCUUUCUCCCCAUUUCAACAACCCCCUCCCCAGUGCCGGGCCCCAGUGCAGCAGCCUGAGGGGGGUGGGGAGGGUGGGGAGUACAACCUGUCUGAGCUGGGAGAUGGGGGGGGGGGCUCUCUGGAUUCCCCUGGAGGGAGCAGCAGGGCCCGGCCGGGAUGCUGGUGGCUGCGGCCCCACCUUGGCUUCUGAAGGGACCAGGGCCGGGAUCCAAAGGGACCCUGAGCCAAAUCAUCUGGCUGGCGACUCCAGGAGCGUGCCCGGGACUGGGGGGUUGGGGGGCCUGGGGAGCUGUGCAGGGGGGGCUGGCUGGGAAGGGGUCCUCUCGGGGAGCCUCUGGCAGCCUCAGGGAGCAGGUGGGAUCCAGACGGGAGUCCUGGUAAUUCUGGGCUUGGCUCCACGUUAA
RNAcentral lists this long non-coding RNA (1026 nucleotides) under Oryctolagus cuniculus (rabbit). Its description in RNAcentral is "lncRNA (ENSOCUG00000031069.1)". The record is from RNAcentral. Lineage: Eukaryota; Metazoa; Chordata; Mammalia; Lagomorpha; Leporidae.